AGGGUUUGUGGAGCUCCUCAUGUCACCGCUCCAGAAGUGCUUGUAUUUGUUUUUGAAAGAUAUUUUCGUUAAGUAUAGAAGUCCAAGUUCACAAUUUUUUUUUUUGGUACUUUGAAGUUGUUGCUUCCUAUCUUCUUUCUUGCCUUAUUUCUUGCAGUUGUCUUUGCCUUUCUUCCUUUCUGUGUUUCAUGUCAUGUUUCUGGGGUUACUUUUAACAUUUUUUAGUUGUGAAUAUUUCGUUCAUACUAUGCCUUUGUGUACUUUUCUUCAUGUUUCUUGUUCUUGGAAUGUGUUGAGUUUCUUGGAUCUGUGGGCUUAUCAUUUUCAUUAACUUUGGAAAAAAUUUGACCAUUAUCUCUCCAAAUAUUUUUUUUGUUCACCCCUCUACAUCUUCUUGUUUGAGGACUCCAAUUCUACAUCAGUUAGGCCACCUGAAGUGGUUCCCCAGAUCACUGAUGCUUUGAUAAUUUUUUUGAGUGUUUUUCUCUGUUUCAUUUUGAAUGGUUUCUAUUGCUAUGUCUUCAAGUUCACUAUGCUUUCCUACUUUGAUGUAUAACCUGCUUUAAUCCCAUCCAGGGUGUUUUUCAUUUCAGACAUUGUAGUUUUCAGCUCUAGAAGUUUGAGUUGGGCCUUUUUUUUCCAGGAAGAUUAGCCCUGAGCUGACAUCUGCUGCCAAUCCUCCUCUUUUUGCUGAGUAAGACUGGCCCUGAGCUAAUAUUGGUGCCCAUUUUCCUCUACUUUACAUGUGGGACACCUAUCACAGCAUGGCUUACCAAGCAGUGCCAUGUCUGCACCCAGGAUCUGAAGCAGUGAACCCUGGGCUGCUGAAGUGGAACAUGCACACUUAACCACUGAGCCACCAGGUUGGCCCCGAGUUGGGCCUUUUUAAGGCUUCUAUAUUUCUACUUAACAUGUUCAGUUUUUCCUCCAGCUUUUUGAACAUAGUUAUAAUAAUUGUUUAUAUAUUUUAGUGUCCUUGUCUGGUAAUUCUAAUAUCUGUGUCAGUUCUGGGUCAAUCUGGUUGAUUGAUUGAUUUUAAUCCUCGUUAUGAGUUGUGUUAUUCUGCAUCUUUGGCUGCCUGGUAAGUUUUGUUUAAAUGUCAGGUAUUGUGAAUUUUAUGUUGGUGCUGGGCAUUUUUGUAAUCAUAUAAAUAUUCUUGAGUUUUGUUCUUGGAUGCAGUUAUCUUCAUAGAAAUCAUCUGAAUCUUUCAGGUCCUGCUUAGAAGGUUUGUUAGGCUGGAUGGAGCAAUGUGUAGCCUGGGGCCAAUUCUUACCCACUAUUGAAGUUAAGCUCUUCUGAAUACUCCACUCCACGAACUGUGAAUUAUGAGGCUUUCCCAUCUGGCUGGUGGGAGCAGGCAUUCUUACCAGCUCUGUGCAAAUGCUGGGUAUUUUCUUCUCUGAUCUUUUGAGUUGAUUCUUUCCUUGACCUCAGCUUCUUUCUUCAUGGAUUCUUAAUUGAAAACUCAAGGGGCACCCCCUGCAGACCUUCAGAGCUCUCUCUCUGUGCAGCUCUCUGUCUUGAGCACUCUAAUCACCUGAGUCUCUCAAGCCCAACUCCUCAACUUCCUCUCUGUGAGCCACACCUGGAAAUUCUCCCAAGACAGUAAGUUGGGGCAUUACAGGGCUCAUGUUGUUUGUUUUCCAGCUCUCAGGGAUCACUGUCCUUCACUAUCAGAUAUCCAAUAUCUUGAAAACUGUUGUUUUAUGUAUUUUGCCUUUUUUUCUGUUUCUAGAUUUUUUUUUUUCAGGCAGGAAAGGUACCUACAGUUCCUGUUACUCCAUCUUUACCAGAAGCAUACAUCCUGAUCUCAUAAUCUUUUCUUCUUGCAUUUCCUGUUGUGACUCUCUUCUCAGGGAAUGGAUCCAUCUUUCAGUCAACUCUCUAACCCAGAACAAGAGAGUCACCUAAGACUCCACCCUCUCCCACAGUCCACUUCCAUUCAGCCUUCAAAGUCUAUCCUGUCUACAUCUCUAAUCCUUCCUCUCUCUGUCUCCUCUUUUCCCUCCCCACUAGGCUAAUUCAGGCCACCAUAGACCCUUGCCUGGAUUAUUAAAUUUUCCUUUUCUCUCUUCUCAACCCCUUCACAUCCCUAUGAAAAUUCCUCUUCUUCUUGUAUUCAGUGAGUGGUAUAUUCAUCCACCAAGUUGACUAAGGUAGAAACAGAGGGCAUUCUACCUGUUUAUAUCUAGCAAGCCCAACACCUAGCCCAUUGUAGGUGCCAAAUAGAGAUGUUUCGUAGAAAUGAAUUUUACAUGUAUGAAAAGAUAUUCAACUUCAUCAUAAUAAGAAACAUACAAUUUAAAAUAUAUGAAGAUGUCUUCAUUCUUCACUGAUCAGAUAGGCAAAAAUCCAAAUGUGAUAAUACACUGUGCAGGGGAGGAUGUGGAGGAAAAGGUACUCUCAUAUGUCCCUGGUAGGAAUGUAAAUUGGUACAGUCAUGGAGGGCACUUGGCAACAUCUCUCAACCAAAACUGGAAACGUACGUACGUUUGACCCACAAUUUCACCCCAUCAGAUUCGUCUUACUGAUGUACUUGAACAAAUAUAUCCAUAAGGACAUUCAAUGCAGUAGAAGCUUGGGAGCAACCUGAACGUCCAGGAGCAGAAUACUAGUUAAAUGCAACGUGGGGCAUUCCAUGUGUGUUGAGUGGGGGUGAUCUCCACGGUGUGUUGUCAGGUGAAAGGAGCUGUGUGUGCUUCACGGCCCCUCAUGAACCCAGGCCGGGAAAGGCCACUGGUGCUUGGGGGAUGGACAUGGAAAAGAGACUUACUUUUCAUUAUAUACCUUUUUGUAGUCUUUGAGUGUUGAACAUGUACAUGUAUUAUCUAUUUCAAAGGUAAUUAUUAAAAAUGUGUUGCUGAGUUUUGUUGAAUCCCUCUAUCACCCCUCCCCCACUGCCACAACCGCCCAAUCCAGCCCUAUGGAUUUUCUACCUAAGAUUUCCUCAAAUCGGUUCCCAUUUCUCUCCAUUCUCUUUCCCAUUUCUGCCUCCUACUCUCUCGAAAGGCCUAAUUUGAAGGCCUCCUUGUCCGUGGAGUCUCCUUCAUCCCCUCCCACUGGGGCAAGUUCAGUUCUAGACAUGUUAGGUUUGGGGAGCCCGCACCACAUACUGAAUCUGGAGCUCUGGAGAGAGAUUUAGAGCAAAGAUGCAGAUUUGGGAGUCGUUAGGUACACGUCUGACUGUAUUCUUGGGCUCUUGAGUGGACUGAUGGCUACCAGAAGUGAGAGGCUUUUUGUCUGGGCCUGAGGAUUGGGACCUGCUGUUCCUGGAAUGAACUUGGGUUAUCAGGUGUAAAUUCCCCUAGGCCUUCAAUUUGAUGUUGGACUUGUGAAUAGUUGCAGGAGCUAUACAAGCACAGAGAACUGCAUCUAGCAGGAUUUCCUCUGCCUGCCCAAGGACUACGUGACAUGUGUUCUCCUCAAGGUCAGAUGUCAUCCAGCAAGCCCCUCCCAUGCCCGGCACUGUGCAGGACUUGGAAGACAGAAGGCACGUUUCCCUCCAUUGUCUCCUGGGAUGUCCGCAAGAGCUUCCAUUUGAGAAGCAGCUCCCUUCCUAACGAAACUGUUGCGUGAUGCCCUCUGAGGUCAGCAAGGGGAAGCCUACAAGAAAGGGUCAGGGGACAAGUCUGACCUGGGCUCCUUCGCUCAGUGUGGCAAAGUCCUGACAUCUCCCAGCCUGAACGUGGGGACAAAGCCUGGCGCUGCUGAGGUCUGGACUGACCAGAGGGUGUUGUUUACUAAUCAGGGUGGAGCCGUUCUGAAUGUGAACUUCAAAUGGGAAAUCUGCAGGUUUGUCCUGGAAGCCUAUUGUCACCUCGCCUAAUGGCUAUAAUUUCUCCCCUCUGAGUGAGUAGAAGCCCUGAAUCUGAAACGUCAGAACUAAAGAUGGGUGAUGAAAGGGCUGGUGCAGUGGGAACUCUGAGAAGCAACUUGUCCCAGGCCACUUGCACAUACUGUUCCUUCUGUCCUGGACACUCUUCCCUCCCUCCUGGACUAAGUGAACACCCCCUCAUCCUUCGGUUCUGACUCCCUCACUUCCCCAGAAAACUUGUUACCUGUGCCCAUUGUACCAUGGAGGAGGAUGGUGGCUACUCAAACGUCAAACCAAUGCAUUUCUAGUUCGCCAUAAACCAGACAGUCCCGUGGGCAUCCUCCUCCUGCUUUAAUUCUGCUGAGAUAAUGGAUGUGAUCAGAUGGGCUCUGCUCGGCUCUGAGUUUCAAGACUGACUUGAAUCUCCAGUGAGGCAACAGUCUGGAAAUUCAGGCCUCAUUGUGCCAGAAAGAAGUGUCUGAAUGCCACACCUCCCCUUUCAGACAAAGCGUCCGGCUCUGGGGACACAAGGCGCAGUAUAGGAGGGACGCUGGCCACGUGCGGACUGGGUCAGUGAUGGCAGGCUCAGAGACAGGCAGAGCCCGGCCUGAGCAUGGUUCUUCUUCUGUUUCUUCCCCAGUUGAGAGAGACCCCCGGGCGGGGAUGGAAACUCGUGGACACAACUUUUGGUUAAAUGUGGUGGAGUAGCCCAGGCAUUUACCUAAACCCCACUAAGCCAAUAGAGAAGGGGCAAGAGGACGGAGAGCAACAGAGGAAACAGCAGCCAAGGAGAGUCACCAGCAACACUUUGGAGAUGGAAAGCGGGUGGAGUUUUCCAAGUGGAGGAAAGUGAGGCCUAAGUACCUGGGUGGGCCAGGCCGAGGGAGAUAAGCUAUGGGACCCCUGGCACCAAGGCCCCGGGCCCUGGAGGGAGCGAGGGCUCCGGUGGCGAGGGCUCCGGUGGCGAGGGCUCCGGUGGCGUGGGCUGUGGCCUGGCCAUGUUUGCACAGCAAGCAGCGAGACCUCUAGGGCCUUCCUCUGCCCUCCCCACCCCAGACUGAGGUGACUCUGGAGAGGCUGAGGGUGGGAGGAGAGGCUUGAGAGCCCAUGUGGGAAGGCGAGGUCUGGCCCUUUCUCUGCUCCUCUCCUGGGAUGUUCCGCCCUCCAGCAGGAGGCUGGACAAUCCCACCCGAGGAAGCUGUUGGCUAGGAGGCCAGAGACACGGACGCUGACCCCUGGGGCUCCCCUAGUGAGGCUGUGGGCUGCACCCGGCUGCUCCACGUGAGGCACAUCCACAGCCAGGCCCUGCCCUCCCGCCAGAGUCUCCAGCCAGUGUUUUAAUGUUUUCCCCUCAAAUAUUACAUACGGCCCGGGGUCUAAUCUGAGAGGCAGAGACGGAGCGAACAAAGCAGACAGAAGGACUGGGGGAACCUGAGACGCAGGGAAGGUGAAGGCAGCACGGACCACGCCCAUGGCGCCCACCUAGAACCGCUGUCCUCAGCCAGACGGGAGGCCUCGCGUCCUCAUCACAGGAUGCCUCAGGAGGCCAGUUCAGAAGGAAGAGAGAGACAGAGAUGUGGAAACAAAGCAUCUGAUGGAAAGGUCGAGAGGGAAAGCUCUCCCUUGUCACUGCUCCUGCCAGGGCCCCACGCACUGGGCUGUCUCCCAUCGUCUCUACUUGUAGUGUCUCUACCUGUCUCUACUUGUUAUCACUCUCUGUCUCUGUGCUACUGUUCCCAGUGUGCUGAACCAGUUGGGGACACACGGGUUGAGGUCGCAGCUCUGUCCUCUCUGGGUUUGCGGGAGGAACCUAGCUUCUGCACUGCCAGGAAAUGUGUUGGUUCCCCGGGGAAGUCCCCCGUGUUCUCAGACUGCCCUCCCUCUCUCGGGCCUCGGGAAGUCCCCGGGGCUCCAGAUCAGGCACCACUGCACACUGAGGCCCCAGUCACUCCUGGCAGCACCCACCUCCCUUCCUGGCCCAUUCCCCCAACACCUGCCACCACCCCCUGAGCUCAUCUGGAGGUCUGAGGAGGGGAGGACAAGGAAGGGGCGUGGCCGCUGUGGCCGCUUCAGGUGACGCGGUAGAAGUGGCAUUUGUCCCGCACUGUCUGGGUGUGUAAGGAGACACUCGCCCCCCAAGGCAGCCCCUCUAAGUGUGCACUAUAGAUGGGGAGAAACCUCAGACUCCUGGGCGAAGCUGGGCAAGCACGGGGUCCCCGUGGGCUGCCUCUCCCUGAGGCUUUGGGCUGCCCUCCACUCAAACCUCCAACGGGGCCUGACUUGGUGGCACAACUGGACUCCACAAAGGGGGUGGGGGUGUCAUCCCUGAUGUGCUGUGUGCAAAGCUCCCACCAUGACCCUCAGCUGGCUGACUUGGCAAACCACAUUUCUACAACAAGGUAAACAGUGUUAUCGGCUCUGACUCUGCUGAACAGACACCGAGACCUGCGCUUUUGCGGGUGACAAGCAGGCGGUUUCUCCGCUGGGCAGGUGGGCCGCCAGCCAGUCCCAGCCCCUCUCUUUCCUGGGCAGGGAGAGCAACCGGCAUUCUGGACACAGCCGGUGCUGAAGUCUAGGCAGGUGCUGGGGGGUGGGGUUGACGCCUUUUCCAGGGACAGGGAUGUGGGUCCUGCUGGCUGCCGAGUCCUCAUCUUGGACUGUUGCACGGUCACUUGCUGCUCAGAGUCCUCCCACCCCUCAGAUUAGCGCCCAAGAGACAGCCAGUGCCUGCCCUGCGGUUCCACCCCCUGGGCCGUGUCUGCCUUUCCACCACCACCCUCCUGCUGUGCCCGACUGCAGACCUCACUUCUCCGAACAUUGCAGUGAGCAGGUGUCAACACUGUUCUUUUUCUUGGUGAAAUGGAAGGUCACAGCUGCACUCAGGCUUCUGGUAAGUGACAGGUAACUAAUGUUCCCACACAAAUUGCAAAUAAUUUUAGCCAAAAGCGGAUCCACUUGUUUUUCUGGCUGCCUUGUGUGGGUUUACGGAGAGCAGAGGCACAAUUCCUUCAGCUUUUGUGUUAUUGAUGAAAGCGUGUGGACUUGUGAUGGAGGCACGGGCCUGGCCAGUCCAGCUCCCUCUGGUCUGCAGGGCACCCUGGGGUCUCCUUGGCACCUGGCCUUUGCAGGGGUGCCCUGAGCCUCGGCCUGCCCCCACCACGCUCCCAUAUGCCCAGGAGGCCUCCUACCCCUGCUUCUCAGGGCUCUUGUCCUCUGUACAGCUUGCCUGACUGUACCCAAUCCUGUCCACUCUGCAGUUUACCUGGGCUUAACCUCAGCCCCUUAACACAGAGCUUUGCUGAAUGUGGCACCAGUCCACGGGCAGCUGGGUGUGAGAGGUUCUCCCACACCUGGAGGCCUCCUCGUGGCCCUGGACUCACUGUCCUGGGUGGCUCUGUGGAAAAGCUCAGAGCCAGCCGUGCCCCUCCAGGAGCCUCGCUUGGGAGGGGAGGAAGAGGGCCCUCUGGCCUGGCCCCCUUCAGGUGUACCUGUGACACCUGGAGUCUUCUCUGCAGACGUGGCAGCCUGGCAGUGACUGCCCUCCCUAGAGACCUGGGUUCUGGCCCCAUGGAGAUGACUGCAGGCUUCAGCCAGACCGCUGCCUUUUGUUGUUGCUGAGCAUCCUUCCUCCUGAGCCCCUGGUCCUUGGGCGAUGUUCCCCUGAGGGCAGAGAGCCUCCUGGGCCGUCAGCCGGGGCUGACUAGGGGCUGAGGACGCAGAGCCUGGACUCUGAGUCACUUCUGCCUGGGUUACGGCCAGGCUUCUGUCUGAAAGUCUGGGAAAGCCCAUUCGUUCAUUCAGCAAACAUUUCUCAGGCUUGCUAGGGGGCACCAGAGGCACUGAAGGAGUGAUGUGGAGUCUAUAUUCUGGGCUCACACCCAGAUUUCUGGUCAGCUGGCAUCGUGGGAGGCUUGCAUCCCCACUCUGAUUCUCUGAUCAGCAGCUUAGAAGUGUCUCCAGACAGUUGUGGUGACCUCAGUCUCAGUAGAAAUUCUAAUUUCCACCUUGGGGGACACAGGCUGCCCCAGGGACCCCCAGCCCCUGGUGGCUGGGAGAGUUCCAGCUCUGCAGACCCCGAGGGCGCGACCACAGGAGGUCUGAUCUGUGCCUCUCUGAGCCAGGCCUCGUCUGUGUCAGCAAAUGGAGCGUGGCAAUUGGCCAAAUUAUUCAGAUAACGAGAGCAGAGACAUCCCUGUGUCCCAAGCAUAAGUAUUUCAGGGAAAAUGGGGCUUCUGCUGCUGGCAACAGAGAGAAAGCUCUAUGUCCAGAGGAGGUGGGGAGUGUUCAGUGCUUUGAGGGGCAGCUGGAGGCGGUGGCGGGGCAGAGCCUCUUUCCCAGAUUGGGCACCACUUGCCCGGACACCCAAUGCCCAGGGCUCCUCUGCGGGCUUUGGUUCCGGGCUCCUCUCUGUCUCAGCUCUCGGGGGAGGGUCAGGAAAUAAGAGAAAGGACAAGGUCAGUUUAGACAGGGCCCCGACCAAUCUCUUUGGGUCUGCAUCCCCAAAUGAACCUGUCAACUGAUGGAACCAGCAAUCAGGAUGAGCAGCGCGCCAGGAACCCGUCAGACGCUAAGUGGGAACACAUCUGUGGAUGAACACGGAAGCCGCUGCGGGCUUUCUCCUGUGAUGCCACAGCGGGUUUGGAUUUUGGGGUGAGUGGUCCCCCCAUGUUUGCUUGCCUCCUUUUCUCUUCUAACCACCCUCCCAACUCAUUCAUUCAACAGCAAAUACCUGACCUGCCCACUGGACACCGUCCCUGGGGGCAGUGGACAAUACUGCACCUCUGUCGGUGUCAGAGCCUGGGGAGGCAGUCAGGGCGGCCCACAGCUCACGCCCUGCCAUCUGCAUCCAGGCGCUCCUCGGCACAAGCUCCAGCUGCCUGCAGUGGGGCCUGUACACUUGCAGACAUCCCAGGAGCCGGGGGCGGCGGGCUGUGCACACACCCUGCACCUGCCUCUUUGCUCAGGAGAACAGCGGCUUUCCCAGAGACCUGGCCCAGUAGAUGUUUACUUCAUGGGCACUCCUAGCUGCAUCUAGACACAUAGUCACCCCAAUAAAGUUGGGGUUCCUUUAAUAGAGGGAGAGGGAUGUACAGGGUCUGUCAGCAGUGGCAGAAAUUAGGCGAGACCUGCCUUCUUGGGGUGGGUGGUGGGCUCUGUCCAGAGGAUGUAACCUGGAAGCUAACACCUGCAGGGCGAGGAGCUGGAGGAGAUGCCCAAUAGAGCUCGGCCGCUGUUUGCCAGGCAGAGAGCCCUCAGCAGCCAGGCCGGGAAACGCGGGGCACCGGGUGCCAGCUGGGCAGUGGGCCAAGGCUGGAGGUGGCAGGUGUGGCCCCUGGAUGUGGGGCUCGGAGUGUGGAGCCCAGUUAUCAAAUGUUAACAUCUGGUUUAGCUGUCCUGGUCAGUACUGGCUGGAUUUCAGCCCAGGUCACCCCCAUAUCACAGAUGGAAGUCAAGCCCCGGAAAGACUCCCCGACUUGCCCGAUGGCCAACCAGGCCUGGGGCAGGUCCUCCAGGAUGCCCUGUGCGUUUGCCUCCUGAGCUCCUGCUGGCCGAGUCCCAGGCAUCCCUCCAGCUGUCCCCAACUCACUUUCCAGGCGGUGCUCAGGGUCCUGGGCUCCCUGAAGAGCCCCUGCUCCUUCCCUCCUGUGACGGGUCCAGGGAGCGGGUCCUGGGAGUCCUCCUUCCUGGUUUCCAGGCGUUUCCGUUGGAGGGUCCAGAUUUGUUCGGAUGGGCUUGCCUGACUCUGCUUCCUGGAGGGUCUUUGCCUACCACUCAGACCUCUGGACUCCUUCUGGCCACGCAUCGCUGACCUUCCUGCUGGCUUCAUGGGGCUUGGGCUGCAGCUGAAUGCCUGCCUUAUGAGAGGCGGCGGAGUGCGGAGGCAAGAGCAGGCACCUUGCUUCAGGUCCUGGGUGUGCGGAGCACACCCAACUUUAUGGGGUGUGGCCCCUGACAGCCAGCUCUGCCCCUGGGACACUUUCCUCUUUGUGUUGCUGGCGUUUGGUGAGGCGGAGCCCCCGUGUGUGUGUGGUGCAGAGCAAGUGCUCAGGAAGGGCAAGGUGAUAUUUUUAUUGGUACAGUUAUUAUUGUACCAACUCACUCCGCUGUUCAGUCUAGUGUGGGGGACACAGACUAGGGGCAGGUAGGAAGAGGGAAACACUGUUUAUUGAGCAUUUACUGGGUGUGGAGUGUUUUCAUUUGUUAUUUUGCUCAGCCUGGAAAACAACUCCUGAGGUUGACACUUUUGUCCAUUGUACAGACAGGGAAAGAGAUGCUCAGAGAGGCCAAGAGACUUGCCCAAGGACACAGAGCAAGUAAAGGGGACAGCUAGGGUGGGUGUUGAGGUCAGCUGCCAAACUGAGCCCCACUCUCAUCACGGUUCUGGGACUUGGGUUUUCCGUCGAGUGAAAGCAGGAGGAUUCCUCCUUUAAGGAAGAUUUGCAGUCUCGGAAACACUCAUCUUAUUUGGCUCCUGAGUGGUGGGUGGAAAGGACUGGCUCGUGUCCCCCUAAAUUCAUAUGCUGAAGCUCUAAUGCCCAGUAUCUCCAAAUGUGACCUCAUCUGGAGAUGGGGUCAUUGCAGAUGUAACUAGUUAAGAUGGGGUCAUCCUGGAGUAGGCUGGGCCCGUAAUCCGAUGACUAGUGUCCCUGUAAGAAGAGGGAAAUUUGGACGCAGAAACGCACACAGGGAGAAGCCACGUGAAGAUGAAUGCACAGAUGGGGGUGAUGCUUCUAUAACCCAAGGAAUGCCAGGACUUUGGGCAAACCCCCGGAAGCUGGAGAAGGGCCUGGAACAGAGUCUCCCUCAGAGGGAACCAACCCUGCUCUCAGACUUCCGGUCUCCAGAACUGAGCAAGUCUCUGUGUUUCAGCCGCCCGGUCUGUGGCGCUUUGUUACAGCAUAAGCGUCCAAACUUAGCUUUAAAACAGUCUGAACCUUAUCAGCGCAUGACAAGACAAUUCUUCUGCAAGUUAUCAUCCCAAUGGGAACUUGAAAAAGAGCAAAGCUGUUUUUGCAUAGAGAAGCUGGGAUAAAUAAUAACAGGGUUCCUAGUAUUUUCCUUUUUUUGUCUUCGCAAAUUUUUAAUUUCGUUGAAAAUUUCUAGAUAAUCAAAGAUCACUCACUAAUCAAGAACUUAGAGGCAAUCAGGCAUCUUGGAAAUGACAUUUCAGCUGACGUUCACAGCCACAAGCUCACUGUGGACACAGAUCUGCCGGAGACGUGGCCGGGACACAACCCACAGCAUCUGCAGCCUCAUUUGACAUGUGCAAGAACUGAUUUUUCAAAAAUGAGACAUGCUAGUUAUAAUUCAGUUUGGUGACUACGUUCUCACAGCCCUGAACACUUAGUGGAAAAGAUAGUGACCCAUAAAAGCAUGAAGAGGAAAUUUAAGAAGCUCAAGUUCAUUAGAUUAAUUCAGAGAAAAUAAACGCAAGCUUGCUCUGCCUGUGCUGUAUUUCACGCUGUGCUCACAAUACAGGAGCGAUAAACAAUUUUUAUACCAAAGUUAUCAGAUCUGUUCAAUGUCUAAUGGUGAACUGUGACAUGUAAUGUUAAAUGACUUAUUUCUUUUGGUAAUCCUUGCAUAAUUUUCCCGUGUUUUCAGGGCACAUUGAUAUUCUUUGUCUUGUUCAAAGGUCUUAAUAUUUUAGGCUUUUUGGGAGCCUUUCCUUUUUACUGCCAGCUGUGUGAAAUUGCCUUUCUUUGCUCCUGGGCCUGUAGCUUAGAACAGCGUCUACACUCCGGGGUGGUGGUGGCCCCAGCUCCGUUUUGACCCUCUCGGAGGUGGAGCCCCCUCCAUAGCACUGGGGAUUUUUCUUACCGAGUGGGCAUGUUGAGAUUCAAAGCACAAGGGGGCUUUAAUUUCCUUCUUAGAUUCCUAUAGAAGUGCCUCCCAGGAUCCACCAACCAAUACAAACAGGUUUGCCUUUAAAGCGGAGGCUGUCUAUUCCCUUGGGCAGGGGACCUGUCCUUCUGAGUUGGCUCUUCUCCUGUGCUCCCAGGACUCGCGACCGGCUGAGGCACUAUCCAAGGGCCACACUUCCCAACCCACUGUGGUGUCUCUGGAAAGGAAAUGAGUGCUCCCUUCCAGACGCACAGACCUGCCAGAGAAACCACGACAAACACGGAGGCGCCAAGAGCAGCGCUUGCAGAGGAAAAUCACAGAAACGGGCCCUGGCAGGUGCACAGACUCCUGUCUGGGUGACCGGUGGUCCCAGUCAUUUAAGUGGAAUGUUCGUCCUCCCUGUGGCAGUGAAUGGCUCCCACCUGUCCAGCCCAGGCCUGCGGGGUCCGUCAUGGAGCCUGAGGCCACAGCUGUCCCCACUGUGAUCUUCAAUGAUUACACAACGAGUAGUUGUCAACGCCAUGUUUAACUCACUAACCAACAACAGACCAUGUCCCCUGAACACCUGUGUGAGUCUGACAAUAAGACUAAACCUUUGGGGGGCUUCUGGGCUGUGCAGAGCCAGCUACCUUACAGUGAGGGUCGUUACAAAUGCACUGUGACAACAGUUUACAUCUUCCAACAGUGGGCGAUGCAGCUCAGGUUGGCCAUCAGGAAUUGCUCUAGCAUGCCACCAAAGUCACUCGUCUUUCCCGUGUUCUUUCACAUCUGAUCACAAUUCUGCAUGCUGCUUACUCCCACGCCUACGACUCCAGUGAGAUCACUCACCUGUCUGCCCCCUUGUUUCUUCAUUGAGUGCUCAUGUCCCAAACCAAGCGCCUUGUGUGCCCCACCCAGAACCCCGAGCUCACUCAGGCGAGGUGGCCCAGGUUCUCACAGUGGCUGUGGCACAAACCCUGGUGUCAUCUUGAUUCAUUGGUCUUUCUUGUACCCACAUUUUCCAGCAAAGGCAGUUGGCUCUACCUUCAAAGCAUAUCCAGACCCAGCCACAGCUCACCACCUCCACGGCCGCCUCCCUGCCCUGGGUACUGCAGUCACCUCCUGCAGGGUCUCCUUGCUUCUGCCAGGUGUCCUUCAGCUGCCACCCAAUUCAUCAGAGUAAAGCUGCUGUCUGGUCCCAUGCUUUCUCCUUGACUUCAUCUGCUUUCCCUCCAACUUCAUCUGCUGUCCCCGGCUCCCUUCUUUCCUGCCACACGGCUUCCCACUGUCCUUGAACAGGCCAGGAUGGCUCCAACCCCAGGGCCUUUGCACUUGCUCUCACUCCAGAUAUCUGUCCUUUUCAGGGUCAGCAAAGGUGGAAAUCCUUAUUGGCUCUCUGGGAGGACAGGCCACAGGAUAACGGGAAUGAUCAGAAAUAGAAACACAUCAAUUAAUAUAGCAAAAGAGUGUAUUGUAUUUAUGCACUUGUAUGUGUGCCAGCUUCUGACUUAUUUCAAGAUGUUAAGGUUUAUGGAAAACCCCACAAAUAAUUUCUAUGCUAUUUGCCAGUAAUACAGAUUCCAAAACUAAAAAGAGGAAAUAUUGGCAUAAUAAGAACCACUCUGGGUUAAAAGACCCUCUGACUGGUCUUGGCUGUCCCGACAUGGACCAGCCUGUCUCGAUGGACGGGGUGGGCUGGAGAGGAGACUUGAGCGCCAGCCGGGCCUGCCCCGAGGUGGGGGUCCCUUAGGGCUUGUCCCCCAGGAGAGCAGACCGCAGAGCGAGGAGGCAUGGACAAGGCUUUCUUGGCAGAGGAAGUAGCGCCUUGGUUUAUGUUCCAGGCGAGGGGACUUCCAGAGCCUUUCCAGUCUAGUGGGAACCCGAAAUGAGCAACACUGCGGGCUUUCUCGUCCCUUUUGAGAAGCGGCUCAGAGCCUGGCCCUACUCACUUUCUGCGGGUCCACCCCAGACAAAGCCACCAGACUUGUGCGCCGUGGGGAGACUCAAAAACACGUCUGGCAUGUUUACGUGAGCCCGAGAAAAAGGACCCAAAGCUUUCUCGGAGCUGAGGUUUAAACUUCAAGUUCUAUGUCUGCUGUGAAGGCACAGAAGACGCUCUCAGUGCAUGUCAUUCUCUGGGGAUGGGGGCCAGUUUAUUGUCGAGGGCCCUUUCUUUGAAGAUUCUGCUGCGAUGUUGCUUGGGUUUCCCUUUUAAGGUUGGAUGAACAAGGGGCAAAUUUUCUGAGACCAGACUGCUUUCCUGUCUGAGUUGUUUUUGGGGCAGUGGGCAAGGACAGUGGGUUAGCCAGGCCCUCCUGCCUUCCAGGGACGUCCUGAUCUUCCCGGAAGUGUCCCCUGGGCCAGGCUGACCUGGCCGGGCCGCAGGGCUGGAUCCAUCUUGUGGCUCCAGGUGAGCACAGCUCACACCCAUCUCACAGCCCUGCACCUUGUUCUGGGGCCCUGUGCUCUCCUCCUCACCAAGCAGCUGCUUGGGCGUGGUCUCAUGACCCAUUGGCCCUUUCUAACCCUUUCCCCUGGAGGCUCAGUGAACUGCCUUAGUAUCUCUGUGCCCAGAGCAGACUUGGCUCCACCUUCUGGCCACUUCUGUCCCCCAGCCACACUGGUGCUCGCUGGACACUGGGCCCUGUGGUUGGCUGGUGGGUGCGUCCACCUGCCUGGAGCCAAAGCCUUGCUCAGGUCUGCGGCAAAGUCACUUUGUGUCCCCUCAGAAAACUGCAUGUCAUCUCAGUGGGAACAGGAAUGCCCCUCAGUGGGAACAGGAAUGCCCCUGAGCCUGUUGAAUUUCUGAAAUAGCCCCAAAUCUGUCGCAGAAGAAGAAGAAGAAAGAAAACUGGGGUAGCAGGAGUGUUUGAGGAGAAAAUCACUGAGAGUUCUCCAGAAUGAAUGAAAGAUGCUUGUUCACAGACUCAAGAGAUCCAGUAAAUUCCAAGCAGAAGGACUGAAAAUGCAACACAGUGAGUGGCCCCGUGGCUCAGAAGGUGGGGUCCAGGCCCACCCACCUGGGGCCGGCGCCGCGUGUCCAGUGGCUGUGCAGGGAUGCGGCCCACAGCUCAGAGGCUGACCCACGGAGGGUUGUUGCCUUUAGAGGGCGGCAGAGCUAUGGCCUGCAUGUGGGAGAGCUGGGGGGCAGGGACCACGUCUUGUGGGGUUCUUGAGCUUAAAGGUUGUGGAGAGGAGCUGCAGGCGGAGGCGACCGAGGAGAGAUGGCGCUGUGGGACCCCGAGCCACUCCAGCUGUGGCAGCAGCAGCAGCAGCAUCCCAUUCUGCCCCGCGGCAGGUAAGGAGGGCUGAAGCUGGCUGUUCAGUUCAGUGACCACAGGUCACCUUUGCGAGCGCCGCUUCUUAGAGACAUAAUAACUCUGAAUGACCCACUUUCUUUCGGAGAUUUAUUACAGCUUGUUGUUAUUUUAUUAUUACUGUCUGCAAUUUUCUCUUCUACUGCUCCUGGGAGCAGUAAGUUUAAAGUGCAGUCCUUCAGAAAAGGCUUGAAUUGGGCAUACAUCAUCAUCUCCGUAGAUGGCCUGCUCACAGUGAGCGUCGUCUCAAGGUUUAGAAGGGGACGCUGUGGCUGUUUCCACCCUGGCUGCCCCUUUUCGCACAGGUUGUUCCCUUGGGGGCUGCGGGGGUGGGUGUGUGCGUGUGUGUAUGUGCUCGUGUGCGGGUUGUGUGACCUUGGAGGUAACUUCAUUGCUCUAAGCCUGGGCGUCUUCAUCUGUUGGGGGCAGGGUGACGAGCUCUGCCUUGCUGGGCUCUGGUAGCUUAGCAUAUGGCUGGAUGGGAAGUGUCUGCAUUUUUCUGGGUGUUGGGCUGGAGUCUGGGAGACAGGCCAUGGCGUGUGUGCGUGACUGUCCUGGUGGCCUGGGAUGGUGGAAGGAUGACAAGGGUGGAGUCCUUUGCAUGUGCUGGAUCUGGAGAAACAGGAAGCAACGCUGUCAGAAGUAGGUGAGGUGUCACAGCCUGGCUCCUCUCUGCUGCCCUUGUGCCCUGAGUGUCACCUGCACUGAGACUUGGAAACUUGCCAGAAGCCACAGUCCAGGUCAGGACUGGCACUUGGUUCUUUCCCACCCUGGCUUCACGCGGUCUCCGAAGCACGAAGCAGAACCCUGAGAGCAGCACCUCGGUCAGCAGAGUGGUGACCAGAGCCCCCCGGCUGGUGCCUCAGUGGAUCUGACUGGUGACAGCUGUACACAACGUUAAAGAAGGGCUGACUGUUUCACCCUCCUCACCCCAAAAGCAUCUGGAGGAGAACCAGCUGUGCAUUCUCCCGUGACUCCAGGCUUGGCAGUACGCCCGGGCACCUGCCCUUGCCCCCAGGAACCCUGCCCUUAAAGAUGAGUGUUCGGGUAAGAUGGGUGGAGCUUUCUGAACAGAGGAGGCCCAGAUGCUAUCUCAGGGCGUUCUGUUCCUCCGUGCACCCGGAACUGCCUCACCCUUCCUGCUCCUCCCGCUGCCCCCUUCUAGCCCCUCGUGGCCGUGAUGGCCGUAGGAGACCCUGUGCAUGUACCCGCCCAUCCCAUACCUGUUCUGUGUGCCCCUCCCUCCCAGCUUUGUUGUGCUUCUAUGACCUGCACCUCCCAUGCUUUGUCAGAGAACCGUCCCCACCUGCAGGUGCAGGGAGCUGACAGUACUCGGGGUGGGGGCAGUGACUGGGCAGGAAGCCAGGACGGCUCUGGGCAAGACUCCACCCUCCAGAGUCCCCACGGAAUCCUCCUGGCUGUCCCCUUCCCGGUUCUGUUUCCUCAUUCCCUGGGGGUAGAUCCUUAUCAUGUACACAGGGAUGGCCUUCUCGGGGUCUGUGCCUGAACCCUGAAUCCUGAAUCCUGGAGUGUCUGUGGUCCUGGGACCCAGAGACUAAGGAUGUGAUUCUCAGCUGACCAGACGGCGACAAGUGCCCCUCCCUGGAGGUAGGUGGAGGGCUGACCGCUCCUGUGUGCUGAGGCAUUGCAAUUCCUGACUCCUCCCUUCAGUGAAUUGGGGUGGGGUACCAAUGCCAGGGGGUGGCAUAGCUUGUACAAUGCCCCUGGGAUUUGGGAGAUCCAAGGGAUAUGGGCACCCUACCCGAGCUGUGGAACUGGAUGGUGUUUGGAGGUGCCAUUAAUGCAACAAAGGGGAAAUGGUCAAACAAGACAGCAGUUACCAAGCUAAGGUGACAAGAGCAGACCAAGACCAGACACACUAGCCAGAGGCAGAAGGUCAGGGAAGCAUGAAUUUACAGUCACUUCCUCCACCAGGCGAGCUCCCGACAGGGAGGAGUGGGACUCUGAGGUGGGGCAUCUAGGUGAGGUCUUUAGGAAUGUUGGGCCCUAAUUCCCUGAGCCCUCUGGGACUGUGGCCACCCUGGAGGCCUGUACAAGGCAGAUGUCUGUCACUCUCUUUGGUGUCCAGCUCACCUCCUCCCCGGGCCACGAGGCUGCUUUCUCUGCCCUGAGCAGUGGCCUCCCAACUACCAACCUGUGAUGGUGCCCAGAUUCCCAGGUUCCCUCAGGGAAAUCAGUGGCAAUGACACUGCAUCACUUCCUCUGGGCUUGUGACACCUGCCCCUUGUUCUCAGGUGUCCCCCCAGCUCUGUCUCCCAGGCCGCCUCUGCUUUUUUGGGGGUUUCCUCACCCAACCCACACAGCCUCAGGAUUCAGCACAUGUUUCGGGGUAGCCCACCCUGCACUUGGCACCCCCACUCUGCCGUGCUGCAUUCCAGCACAGCAGGGCCCCAAAAGCACAGAGAAUGGCUGAGUCUCUGAAUAAGAUACAAACCGAAUACAUGGAACAGACAUUCUCAUCAACCACUGAUUACAUGUAAAGCUUCCCAGUGACUUUCGAGUCUUUGGGCCCUUUAGAUGGAAUGGGGAUGCAAGCUCUGGGUCCCUGGAAUGCCUUGGUGAUCCCACGUGGACGGCAGUCUGAUCGCAUAUUUGAUUUCCGUUCUCCCCUGAAAAUCCCCGGUCACCAGCACUUUCCUUGUGGGUGUGCAGGUAAUGCAAAGCUAUUUCUUGUUUCUCUGCAUCAACUUGAGGAUCACUAUUCACUAAAAAGAAAUUUGUUUGCCUUAUUAAUGUUGCUAAAUGGUUUUUCAGUGAUCUCAAGGCGAUGUUUAUAUGUGAGAAUGGUUUUCUUUUUAUUGUUGCUGCAUUCUGAAAGAACGCAUCUCUAUCCUUUCGGGAUUGCUGAAGGAAAGAAGAGCCCUGUCUGCUUAUCUGAGGGGGUCGGGGCGCUGGAGGGAACUCUGUGGGUGCAGAGACAUGCUGAUGUCACCUGGGGAGAGGACAGGGCACAGGCGGUGUGACUGCAGGGUCGGUUCAGUGAGAACCAGAGCCUUUUUGUGACCCUCCUUUAUAACGGCUGGCUAUGCAAAGUUACUUGGUUAAAUUGAGCAUUAUUACUAAAGACAGCAAAAUCCAAGCCCUUAUUUGAGUCCUAAAUUUGUCAGUUAGUAGCCACGUGACUGGUCACCUCAUCUCUCUGAGCCCCACUGUUCUUAUUUCCCGUCAUGAUAAAGAUGGUGAUGACACUGGUGAUAGGAUGGUGAUACCUUGCCUCGUGUCACAUCUCUGGAAAUGAGUGAAGACUAUCCAGAUGAGGAAAGCAAAGCACUGCUGGUGCUCAUUGACUGGCUUGUGAACAGCGCCUUCACUGGACACCCCAGAUCAACAUGCAGGUCCGAUGCCUGGGGGCCCACAUGGAAACGAGACUUGACAGUUCACACCGUGGAACUGUGUGCAUGGAGAGGAAGAAAAGGUGCCCAGGAUUCAGUGGGUUGACAUUUGCUGCUCGCGUAUUCUGAGAAUCUCCCCUGAGAAUAAAUCUAUUGCUUAUUAAAAAAAUAAAUUAUAAAGACUUCCUGGUAAAGAUGGUGUCAUGGACCCAGAUCUUAGAAUCUCCCUUCCCCAAUUCCUGAUGAGACUAAUAAAUAGUAGAAAAAAUUAGCAAAACAUUUUCCACUCUCAAAGACAGAGUUAUAAAUUCACACCACAGCAUUUGAGAACGGCAGCCAAGGAAAGCGGUAGAAGAUUCUCGUGCAGCAUCUAACUCCUUCACAGCUCCCCGGAGACUAUACUGGAAAACAAGAGUCAACAAAGUCCUAAUAGUUCUCACUUGAAUUCCCUAAUGUUGGGAGAGGUGGACAGACGGUGGGUGUACAGCCUGGAGAGAAGUUUCAAGAAAUCCUCAAAUUGGAGGCUCUUGCCAACCACGGUGCAAUCUCAAGGUCUAAGCAGAGGCAAGAAAAUUACCAAGUUUGACAUUUUCUAGGACUCCACGCUGAGUUAAGGAAAUGCCCAAACCAGUAUCCUGCCAAGCGGGCUGACACUCCCCUGAGUAACUGUGUGACAUUUAGCGCAAUCUCAGAAAAGACAGCAGAACCCGGGAAAUCCAAUACAGCCUCACAGAGCAAGAAGAAAGGGAAAUUUUAGAGACCUAAUAUCAAGUGAGUGCAAAAAUCAGCCCCUUUAUAGAACUAGAAAAUGAACUAGAAACAGAAUAUACACAGCUAAAAUUUAAUCAACUCUUCUGGAGGAAAGUCUUGAAAUAAUCGUUGUGAACACAUAGGAGCUGUACAGAGAUAUGAAAGCAAUUAGAAAAAACAUAAAAGAUUUGAUGGGUUGACUUAGAUGAUCCAAUAUGAAUAAAAUUUAUUAAUGUUAAUUAGAAAACCAAUCAAUGAACAGAGUUUUCAAAAAUGUAAUAAAAAAAUUCCUGAAGUUAAAGGAACCUGAAGUUAAAGAUUGAAGAUGCAUAACUAUGAAGUAGUCUAGAAAAAAUUCAUUAUUAAAUGGACACAUUAUUAAGCGGGCAUGUUUUGACUGAAUUAUUGAACUUUAAGUGAAAAGAAAAAUUAUUUAGGUUUUGAGGAAGAAAAUGAAAUUCAUAUACAAGGAGAAAAAAACCAGGCUGACUACAUACUUCUUAGCAAUAUUCAAUGUGAAACGACAAUUGAGCAAUUAUCUGGCGCGAUUAAAUUGUUACCCUAAAAUGUAAAGCCAGUAAAAUUGUUAUUAAGUCUAAAGGCAAUAGGAGGCAUUCUUUAAAAUCUCAAGAAAUAUAGAGCCAGUGAAUAUUUUAUUGAAAAAAAUAGUCCAGUGAAGCAAGUCAGUUGAUCCAAAGAUGAGUGAAGAGGCUAUGCUCAGGGUCGGAGGUCACUGGUCAGUGGAGCGAUGUCCAGAAAGUUCUGAGGGAAGGCGAGUGUGACCCAGGAAUUUUACACCCAGCCAACCUUUCUUUCAAAUACUAAAGCCGUAGACAGACAUUCUCAAGUGAGCAAACUGCAGAGAAGAAACCACCCAAGAAUCUUUCCUGAAAAAAUGUGACAGUGAAAUCCAGCCAAGCAGAAGAUGAAUAAAAACAGAGUGUAGAAAUGGACAAAAGAACUGGAGGAGUAUACUGAAUCCACGGAAAUAUAGUUCUAUAUGCAGGGAUUUCGAUGAUUGAGUUGAGGGUGAAUGCUAUAAAGCAGGAGAAAACAUAAAAUUAUCAAAAAUUUACAAAGAAGUGGGAGGUGGAGAUCACAGGUGGCGUAAGUGCAAUAUUCUCAUGGCUCCGAACUCCUAAUGUUUUGUGUGUUGUAAAAAAUGUUUUCGGAAUCCAAAUGAUCUUUUCUGGUGAAUAAACACUACUCGAGGUUCAGCAUUUAAUUGUUUCAUCCCAGUUUCUUUUUUAAUUUAUUUCAAGUAAAUUAAAUUUUAAAAAUUAAAUUAAAGUAAGUAUGUGUAGGAUGAAAAAAACUCAAUUUCUUUAUCUAUAAUCUGUCUAUAUCUAUCUUUAUCUAUCCAUCCAUCUAUUCAUCUACCAAUCUAUCUAUAUCUAUUAUGUAUCUACCUAUGUAUCCAUCCAUCAUCUACGUAUCAUCUAUCUACCUUCUAGCUGAGUGCAUGCAGUAUUUCCGUUUUGUAACACUGUAUCUGUCUAGCCUUCCUCUGUGCCUAUGUGUGCAUGCAGUGACAGAGAUUGAAAUCAUGGUAACUAUCAUUGUGUAUUAGUCUGAUGGGUCUGCCAUAUCAACCUACCGCAAACUGCGUGAAUUUAACAAUAGAAUUUUUUUUCUCACAGUUUGGAGGCUGGAAAGUCCAAGGUCAAGGUUCUGGCUGA
RNAcentral lists this long non-coding RNA (20737 nucleotides) under Equus caballus (horse). RNAcentral describes it as "lncRNA (ENSECAG00000056536.1)". The record is from RNAcentral. Lineage: Eukaryota; Metazoa; Chordata; Mammalia; Perissodactyla; Equidae.